Molecule: ribosomal RNA, 738 nt
Filed under: Triticum aestivum (bread wheat)
Lineage: Eukaryota; Viridiplantae; Streptophyta; Magnoliopsida; Poales; Poaceae
Description: partial small subunit ribosomal RNA
Source: RNAcentral
AUGGAGACGAGCGUGAUCGUCCUGUCCGUCGUGGUAGGAUUGCUCGGGGUCGGAAGCGCCGUGCUGGGGUUCAUCGCCGAGGGCACCAAGCUCGAGCGGAAUGACAUCGGGGUGUCCAAGACCGAGUGCGUGUACCCCGGCAACCCGGCGUUCGCGCUGGGGCUGGUCGCGGCGCUCCUGCUGCUGGCGGCCCAGAUCACCGUCUCGGCCGCCGGCCGCUGCUGCGGCUGCUGCAAGCCCCGGGGCGCCGCCUUCUCCGCGUCCAGGCGGAACAUCGGCGUCGUCUUCGCCGUCCUCUCAUGGGUGGCGACGGUGAUCGCGGAGAUCUACUUCGUGCAGGGCGCGGCGUGGAACGCGCCGGUGACGCGCGAGGUCAACACGGGGUGCUACUUCGUCAGGGACGGCGUGUUCAGGAGGGCGGCCAUCCUGAGCAUCAUCGCAACCGUGCUCGGGAUCAAGUCCUACUUCUUGCUUCGCGCCGCUGCGGCCACGGCGGCGGCGGCGGCUGCUGCUGUGCCAGGAUACCCGGGGGCCGUGGCGGGGCCGUCGUCGGCGGGCGAGCCCAAGCCCGACGGGAUCGCGAUGGGUCACCCUGCUCCGAUGUACGGGCAGGCGCCGUACGCGCACUACCCUCCGCCUCCGAACGCGCAGGGGUACGGGCAGUACCCGCCCCCUCCAAACGCGCAGGGGUAUGGACAGUACCCUCCUCCUGCUCAGGGGUACGGGCACGGACACUGA